This is an RNA transcript of Pomacea canaliculata, 4514 nucleotides long. RefSeq lists it as uncharacterized. NCBI's taxonomy places the organism in Eukaryota, Metazoa, Mollusca, Gastropoda, Architaenioglossa, Ampullariidae. The transcript has 4 exons. The record is from RefSeq and is a predicted model, not a curated record.
AACCUUGCUUAAACUGAUCAAAGGCGGAUAAACUGUCAUUUUUAAGAGUUGUUAAGAAUCUUAUCGAUCAAUUUGUACUAUUAAACCUGUUAACUAUGCAUUUUUGUAAAACCUAGAUAUAAUUUCUGUUAAUAAUGAUAUUCGUACACCUCUUUAAUGUAUCGACGUUUCUUUCCGACCAAAUGAUGAGAAAUAUGCAACAAGUAUUAAUCGUAGCCGCACAGCAUGCUCAAAAUCAGAGAAUUACUUUAUGAAUACUAAAAAAUUAAAAGAAUUUCCGUUACAUAAGCUAUAAUAAAUUAACAUUUGUUUACUUUUUAGUCAUUUUACGACACUCAGACAUAUUAAUGAUAGACACGUCAGAUUUACGGUAACACUGACAAGGGAAGCUACUACUUGGUAUCAACUUUAUUUUCUCACAAGAUUACUUCCCAUUUGAACGAUAAUAGUCUGGUUUAAGGAUUGCAUCGAAGUCUACUUCACACCUAGGUUAUUUUCGGAUUAUCUUACAUUAGUCUUCAGCUUUUUUUCAGUCGUAGUUGUCUCAAGGGAGGUCUUGCUUGAUAACUACUACAUUUUAUUUAUUUAUUACUUCCCAUGCGUUUUUUACUCGGCUGAUUCAGAGACUUUUUUGUCACUAAUACAGGUGAAUAAUGAAGAGCUCCAUAGCUCUAAUGUUAUGUAUUAACUAAUUAACACUUACUUUUAGCGUGCUAGGGAUUUAUUAGCUUCAAAUGCAUCUCACAUAUUUCAUAAGUUUGAAUUAUAUAGUUUGCCUACCAAGAUGGCGACAGCAUCAGCAGAGCCCAACGAAAGAGAGUGUCCGGUGUGCAUGAAUGACUUCGAGACACCAAAGAUUCUACCGUGUGGUCAUCUCCUGUGCCGAAAAUGUGUCAUUCCGUUGUGGAAAACUAAUGCUUGUCCGCUGUGUAGAGGUCAAAUUUUUGAUUCUCCGUUACACUUCAUGUUAAUAUUUAAAGUGGUGAAGAUAGAAAACUUUGUCAACCACCUGCCGACAGAUUUUGUGAUGGAAGCGCUGGUGCAGAGUGCUCGUGUGCUGGCUAAAGGUACCGCGUGUGGGACAUGCGAUGCCAAUAACAAGGCUGAGUUUAUCUGUAUGCAGUGCCUGGACACAAUGUGUUCAUCAUGUCACAAGAUACACAAGAAGAUGUCAAUGUCCCGCAGUCACGAUGUGGAGAGUCUCUCCUCUGUGACACCUGAGCGUCUGGCUGCUAGCGGCCCCCCGCUGUGUGCUGACCACGGCGACAAACAGUUUCUCUUUUGUCAAGAUUGUUAAGGUCUAAACUGUGUUUAUGUACACUUUCCUGUCUUUCGAAAAUAGAAAAUAAAAUGUUCGGAAUAUUUAGAAUUAGUUAGUUUCCUUAGUUGUCUGUGUGGGUGUGUUUGUGUGGGUGUUUGUGUGUUUUACAGGUGGUAUCAUCCGCAAUCCUUACACAUGGUUUUCCCCCCUUAAACUUACAGUCGAUAUAUUAUCAAUAUUAUUGAUAUCAGAAGAGACAAAGAAAGGUUUCUUUUCUAAAAAAAAAUGUUACAGACUCCUAAGAAACUCUAUUUUGUUCUACAUCCCUCUAUUUCUGUUACUCCCAAGCUUCAACGAACUAUGUGAAUUAAGUCUUGCACACACUUGCUCACGCAUGCGUACGACAGAUUACAAACACACAACAUCUUUAUGAGUUCACGCAGGCAAAGGUGAAGAAUAUUUAGUUGUAGUCAGAGAUGGAAAGUGAAAGCAUUAAUGCUAGACAGUGGUCAGAGAGGUGGAAGUCAGGAGAAAGUACCUUGCUUCAGGACCUGAACGAAGACAACACCACAGGUCGUCCAUCAGAUGGUAGAACAAGAAUUUACCGUUGCCCUAGUGUUGUAGACUCAGUGCGUGUAAACUAACAAUACUCUUGUAAGCAAGAUUGAGACUGUGGCAUGAAAAUACAGAUGUUUUGGUUCUAAAUGAUAAUACGUAUACGCCUCUAGAAUCACAAUUAAGUGUAUUAAAUAAAAGAACAUUGAUGCACAUUUGUUCGUUCCCAGUGCUCAGUACUACAGAUUACUUCUUUUUUCGUAUCAUAACCGUGUGAUGAUAAGUUGUAAUAAAAAAGUGUUAAUAAGUUUGGAAUAUCUACAUGUGAACCUAGAAAGUUUAUAGACAUGCACACUGACCACAAACACGUAAAUAGAUGAAGAUACAAUCAGCCUGCAGAAGCCAGCUCUUGGCUGACCAUUUGGCUGAAGAGAUUGUUGGCCGUCGUAGAGGUCAAGUGUAGGUAUGGCAGGUCAGUACAGACAUUAACAAACCAGUUAUUCACAGAUUGCUUAAAAAGUGCGUUUUUUCACUGUUAUGAAUAAAAACAAUUAAUCUGUAAUAUUGUAUGCGACUGUAAUCACUGAAUGCGAUUUUUUCAAUGUGUCCUUUUUUGUACAUUGGCGAACUUUGGACCACGCUUUUAUUUCUAGACAGGCUUGAUGAAACAUUCCCCCAUAUUUGAAUGUAGGACCUUUAGGAACUCAAUCUAUAAAAAGCAUGUUCAAUCGCAUUUUAGACAUCUUCACGGCAAUGGCCUAAAUACUAGGCUAGAAGCCAGGAAGAACAGCAAAGGAAAUUAAUUUUUUUACCCAUUAUAAUCCAUCCAGAAUAUUUCAGAAUAAUUGUAUGUGAAGGUGAUUGAUAUUAAAAAGAAAUGCAAUUGAUGCUGUCGACCCUUUGUCCGAAUAUUGAAACACAUAUUUACAAUAAAAAAAUUAAUGCACGUUUAGAGAUAAACAAAGAAAAGUUUGAUAAACAAUGGCUACCAUAAUUAUAAAUAACUUGUUUACUAAACUAAAUACUCUCUCUAUAUAUAAAUGACUUCGUGAUUACCUAAAACUACAUAUGUCUUGAUAUAAUAGACAUUAAUAUUUUUGUUUUGUCAGCCUAUGACACAUGGGAUCCAAGGUACCUUCUAUUGCUUGAUUUGUGUGGUAUGACAAAAGAAAACAUACUCUGUUUCUGUUGUGUAAAAUUUUACAUUGCUGGCUUCAUUGGCAGAUGGGUGUAUUCUUAAAAUGACUGGUAAUAUAUGUGCAUGUGUUUGUUUUUCUGUUGUUAUAUUGUAAAAUAUUGCAUAUUUAUGUGAAAUGUAUCUGUGAGAGAUAAAAAAUGUUUUUUUAAAAAAAUGAUGCUGCCGUGGUUCUGUGUCUGCAUUGAUGAACACACGCUCACACACACACACACACCUUCGAUCAAAUGUCUUAUCGACAAACUCACAAGGAAUAAGUGAACUGUUGUUUUCUAGGAAUCAGACUAAUUUUACUAAAGGUACUUCAUUGUUUAUGCCGAACCCUGCGCUAUAUUUCAAGGGUCCUUAUUGCGCUGUUGCGAAUGUCAGAUAGGCAGAGCUUAUAACGAACAGACAGACUGACAAUGUUGUCUUACGCAACCAAGAUGGAAAUUUGGGGUAUUUUUUUCUCUAUAGCAACACAUUUCAUUCUAUACUUAUAGAAUCCAUUCUAUAGCUAAAGAGCAAAGAAAGUUGUAAAAGUUAAAGUAUUUCAUAUAUAUAAAUAUAACUUAUAAAAUAAAUUCUGUACAGAGCUGAAAUGCAUACAGAACGAGGCUGGCUUACUUGCAUAUGGGGAAAGAAGGUCAAAGAUCAACUAAUUAGUGCCCUGGAAACAUAGCCUUAUAAUUUAUGGCGUAUUCACGCUCUGGACACCUCGUCGUGACAAGAAAAUUUUAAAGAAAAAGUAACUCAACAAAUCAAGAUAUGCGCUAGAGAAAUGAAUAGAGAUGGUGACCUCACACAGAUAUACAGCAAGCAUGUAAUAUAUUUUUUUGCUCCGUUCAAAGCACACAUAGAUAUCAACGGGUAUCAACUGAUAGAGCACACGACCAAACGUUCUAGCUCUCGCCCCUCUGUUGAUAACUCCAUUCGUUAUCAUUUUACUGCUCAUAGCAAAAUGUUGAUUUGCUAACAAAGACAAACCAUUCUUUCCAGGGAGUAAAUGUCUCUAUCCUCGUGUAACUAUGUUUCUGAUAAAUGCAUAGUACUUCAAACUUAUUUCUUGGGUGACCUAAAGUUGGUCACCCAGCACCAGUCUUUGUGUUCCACGAAAACUGCGGAACCAACAUUCGUCUGACGAACGGUAACAGGACCGCGGAGAAGAUACAGCCGCAUGCGUUUAAUAAUGGGGUGGUCGUGUCACGUGACCCUAUGUUGGCCGACGUCUUGUAUGAAGUCAGAGUGGACACAGUAACAGGCGGGUACAACGAGCUAGCACUGGGUGUGACAAGAAUUUCUCCUGCACACGUCUUUGUGACAAAAUAUGCUUCAGAGCUGCCAGACUCCGUUAUCAUCGGGCCCGGUGAGGUCUCCUACCAGCAAAGAUGUAUGCAGAUACCGCUCGGAGUAGACCUCAAGAGACUUCACGUCGGGAGUCGAGUCGGGUUGCUGGUGACCUCAUCAAACGACCUUCACCUCUACAUUGACGGACGACCAGGGUGUUGUAGCCAAAAUGUUACA